AGUGAACGCUGGCGGUAGGCCUAACACAUGCAAGUCGAACGGCAGCACAGGAGAGCUUGCUCUCUGGGUGGCGAGUGGCGGACGGGUGAGGAAUACAUCGGAAUCUACUCUGUCGUGGGGGAUAACGUAGGGAAACUUACGCUAAUACCGCAUACGACCUACGGGUGAAAGCAGGGGAUCUUCGGACCUUGCGCGAUUGAAUGAGCCGAUGUCGGAUUAGCUAGUUGGCGGGGUAAAGGCCCACCAAGGCGACGAUCCGUAGCUGGUCUGAGAGGAUGAUCAGCCACACUGGAACUGAGACACGGUCCAGACUCAUACGGGAGGCAGCAGUGGGGAAUAUUGGACAAUGGGCGCAAGCCUGAUCCAGCCAUACCGCGUGGGUGAAGAAGGCCUUCGGGUUGUAAAGCCCUUUUGUUGGGAAAGAAAUCCAGCUGGUUAAUACCCGGUUGGGAUGACGGUACCCAAAGAAUAAGCACCGGCUAACUUCGUGCCAGCCGCCGCCGUAA
RNAcentral lists this ribosomal RNA (506 nucleotides) under uncultured bacterium. Its description in RNAcentral is "partial 16S ribosomal RNA". It matches the Rfam family "Bacterial small subunit ribosomal RNA", at positions 29 to 523 of the family's 1533-position model. The record is from RNAcentral.